RNAcentral lists this ribosomal RNA (228 nucleotides) under uncultured bacterium. Its description in RNAcentral is "partial 16S ribosomal RNA". It matches the Rfam family "Bacterial small subunit ribosomal RNA", at positions 568 to 796 of the family's 1533-position model. The record is from RNAcentral.
UGCGUAGGCGGUUUGUUAAGUCAUUUGUAAAAGAUCUCAGCUCAACUGAGUAAAGCGAAUGAAACUGGCAGACUUGAAUACGGUAGAGGUAAGUGGAAUUCCAUGUGUAGCGGUGGAAUGCGUAGAUAUAUGGAGGAACACCAAUGGCGAAGGCAACUUAUUGGGCCGGAAUUGACGCUGAGGCACGAAAGCGUGGGGAGCAAACAGGAUUAGAUACCCUGGUAGUCC